RNAcentral lists this ribosomal RNA (251 nucleotides) under uncultured bacterium. RNAcentral describes it as "partial 16S ribosomal RNA". It matches the Rfam family "Bacterial small subunit ribosomal RNA", at positions 57 to 305 of the family's 1533-position model. The record is from RNAcentral.
GCAAGUCGAACGGUAACAUGAGAGCUUGCUCUUGAUGACGAGUGGCGCACGGGUGCGUAACGCGUAUGCAACCUACCUUUAACUGGAGAAUAGCCUUUAGAAAUGAAGAAUAAUACUCCAUAACAUUUUCUUAUGGCAUCAUAAGGAUCUUAAAGCUUCGGUGGUUAAAGAUGGGCAUGCGUUCUAUUAGUUUGUUGGUGAGGUAACGGCUCACCAAGACUUCGAUAGAUAGGGGGCCUGAGAGGGUUGUC